GUGCUCGCUUCGGCAGCACGUAUACUAAAAUUGGAACGAUACAGAGAAGAUUAGCAUGGCCCCAGCGCAAGGAUGACACGCAAGUUUAUUCAGAUGCAGGAACACUGU
Molecule: small nuclear RNA, 108 nt
Filed under: Chinchilla lanigera (long-tailed chinchilla)
Lineage: Eukaryota; Metazoa; Chordata; Mammalia; Rodentia; Chinchillidae
Source: RNAcentral